RNAcentral lists this ribosomal RNA (544 nucleotides) under uncultured bacterium. Its description in RNAcentral is "bacterial SSU rRNA". It matches the Rfam family "Bacterial small subunit ribosomal RNA", at positions 358 to 916 of the family's 1533-position model. The record is from RNAcentral.
GGAAUCUUGCGCAAUGGGCGAAAGCCUGACGCAGCAACGCCGCGUGCGGGAUGAAGGCCUUCGGGCUGUAAACCGCUUUCAGCAGGAACGAAAAUGACGGUACCUGCAGAAGAAGGAGCGGCCAACUACGUGCCAGCAGCCGCGGUGACACGUAGGCUCCAAGCGUUGUCCGGAUUUAUUGGGCGUAAAGAGCUCGUAGGCGGUUUAGUAAGUCGGGUGUUAAAACUCUGGGCUCAACCCGGAGAGGCCAUCCGAUACUGCUGUGACUUGAGUUCAGGAGGGGAGCGGGGAAUUCCUAGUGUAGCGGUGAAAUGCGCAGAUAUUAGGAGGAACACCGGUGGCGAAGGCGCCGCUCUGGACUGAAACUGACGCUGAGGAGCGAAAGCAUGGGUAGCAAACAGGAUUAGAUACCCUGGUAGUCCAUGCCGUAAACGGUGGGCACUAGGUGUGGGCUCCAACUAACGGGAUCCGCGCCGUCGCUAACGCAUUAAGUGCCCCGCCUGGGGAGUACGGUCGCAAGACUAAAACUCAAAGGAAUUGACGG